UACGUAGGUGGCAAGCGUUGUCCGGAUUUAUUGGGGUUAAAGGGUGCGUAGGCGGCUUUGUAAGUCAGUGGUGAAAUAUGGCAGCUCAACUGUCAAGGUGCCAUUGAUACUGCGGAGCUUGAGUACAGAUGAGGUAGGCGGAAUUGACGGUGUAGCGGUGAAAUGCUUAGAUAUCGUCAAGAACACCUAUAGCGAAGGCAGCUUACUAGGCUGUAACUGACGCUGAGGCACGAAAGUGUGGGGAUCAAACAGG
Molecule: ribosomal RNA, 253 nt
Filed under: uncultured bacterium
Lineage: Bacteria
Description: partial 16S ribosomal RNA
Rfam family: Bacterial small subunit ribosomal RNA
Source: RNAcentral